Long non-coding RNA from Oncorhynchus keta (chum salmon), 150 nucleotides. RefSeq lists it as uncharacterized. The record is from RefSeq and is a predicted model, not a curated record. The transcript is spliced from 3 exons. NCBI's taxonomy places the organism in Eukaryota, Metazoa, Chordata, Actinopteri, Salmoniformes, Salmonidae.
GAGUGUAGAGGAGGCAGGUAGCCUAGUGGUUAGAGCGUAGAGGUUGCAGGUAGCCUAGUGGUUAGAGUGUAGAGGUUGCAGGUAGCCUAGUGGUUAGAGUGUAGAGGAGGCAGGUAGCCUAGUGGUUAGAGCGUAGAGGUUGCAGGUAGC